CCUCAGAUAUUCGACGUUUCGUCGAAACAACCGCUGCUUCGUGGCCUAUGGUAAGUAAUUUCUAGAAAAAUCACUGGGGGUCCAACUCUCCAAAUCCAGUCUCUCUAGGGUGAGGCCCGUGAUUCUGCAGCCGUCAAAAAACCUAGCUCGAUUCCAUGACCGGAAGGCAAAGUUAUCAAGGUUUUAAUUUGCACAGAAUUCUCCAUCUGCAUUCCACAGUGUCGCGCCCGCCAGCCUACCUUAACGGCGCGGUUAGUCGACUCACUUGACACCGACAUCGUCUAAGCUAUCCACCCUAACGUCCUAUGUGCCAUCACUAUACUAACCACCUCGUUGAAAAGCAGUUGUGGACCCUCAGAUAUUCGACGUUUCGUCGAAACAACCGCUGCUUCGUGGCCUAUGGUAAGUAA
This 410-nucleotide long non-coding RNA is filed under the name Phoenix dactylifera (date palm). RNAcentral's name for it is "long non-coding RNA (PDAC_LNC022399)". The record is from RNAcentral. Lineage: Eukaryota; Viridiplantae; Streptophyta; Magnoliopsida; Arecales; Arecaceae.